RNAcentral lists this ribosomal RNA (301 nucleotides) under uncultured bacterium. RNAcentral's name for it is "partial 16S ribosomal RNA". It matches the Rfam family "Bacterial small subunit ribosomal RNA", at positions 509 to 807 of the family's 1533-position model. The record is from RNAcentral.
CAGUCGCCGCGGUAAUACAGAGGAUGCAAGCGUUAUCCGGAAUGAUUGGGCGUAAAGCGUCUGUAGGUGGCUUUUCAAGUCAGUCGUCAAAUCCCUGGGCUCAACCCUGGACAAGCAGUGGAAACUACCAAGCUGGAGUACGGUAGGGGUAGAGGGAAUUCCCGGUGGAGCGGUGAAAUGCGUUGAGAUCGGGAAGAACACCAACGACGAAAGCACUCUGCUGGGCCGACACUGAUACUGAGAGACGAAAGCUAGGGGAGCAAAUGGGAUUAGAGACCCGCGUAGUCCCUGUCUCUUAUAC